CGCAAGCGACAGACACAAAAAGAAGUCUUGAGCAGCGUAGUCGCCCCCCCCCUCUCCCCUCCCUCCCGCCCCCGGCCACGCAGCACUCACAACCGCAUACUUCGUGUUCGUUGUAGACGACGGCACUCACCGCUCUCUCAGCAUGAACAGAGACGGCGUAGAGGAUGGCAUCUACGUCAACUUCUUCGGCUUUGAUGGGAAGGCCGCAAUGCUGGCGUGCGACAUGUACGGCAUUCUUCCGGAAAACCUUCUCUACUUGCCCAAAAAUAUGUUUCUCCAGACGGGGGACGAGAGUGAGCAGGUUCUGCUGGUGCGGUACACCAUGUGCGAACGUAGUCGCCAAGGCACCUUUCGCACCUUGCUCGGCGCCAAAUCGAAGCUGAUGGCGGAGGGUAAAGUGGAGGAGCUGUGGAAAGAGCGGUGCCGCACCUUGGCAGACGCGGCGCCGUGCCCACGCUUUACAGAAAAGCAACUGGAAGAGGCCGCCGCGGCACUUGACACAGACAGUGAAAGUGACGAGGAACGACAGGUCGACGAGCGCGGCAUGCGAAAGCCGCCACCGCCGCUGCCGCCUGCGCCACCAUUCGCCUCGGACGGCCCACGCGGCGAGGCAGCUGCAGAGGCCGCCGCCACGGAGAACGACGAAUCGCCCACGCCAGUGACGGACACGCCUUUUGGCAGGGCGCCAGACUCGGAACCGCUGCCGCCGCCGCCCACGCAAGCCUCCUCCGACGCGGGCGGCGAGACACGGAGGGGCUCGGGCACCACAGCUACAAACGACAAUGCCGCGCUCGCUGUCGACGCGAAACGCAUGACGCAGCAGCUGCAGAACGACUGGAAGCAAUACGACGUGGUCAAGUCGCUAGAACUGUCUCGGACACACAAGCUCUGCUCACAGCCGCCAAAUAUCCCGCAAGCGUACUUUCCGCGCUUGCUCGAGACGCUGAACAUGGAGGAGAAAGAACUUGCCGCCGCGCAAAAGGAGCUCUCUCGCUACAGCAAGAAGGCAGCGAGGCGACUACGUGCGAGGCAGCAGGAGCGAUCGAGUGGGCCCUCCGCCCCAGGCCGCAGCACCUCCCUCCCCCCUCUGUCCUCCUCCCCUUUGCAGAACCCCGCCGCCACCCACCUGCACCAGUCUGUGGAGCUGCGGAAUCGUCGCGAGCUGGAUGCCUUACAUCGAGUGGCGCAAGCGCAUCUGCGCUUUUUGAGCGAGCGCUACGAGCAAGGCCGCAGCAUCGACGAGAAAAUGGAGGGGGUGGCGACCCUUGGUACGCUGGAGCACAUGCUGAAGUAUCAAAAGUCUAUCGGCAUAGCUCCCGAGCUCGAGGACCGCAUUCAGACCAGGAUGGUGCGCGAGGAAUCCCGCGCGGCGCUCCAACAGCAGCUACGGGAGUCGGAGUGGGAACGGGCGUAUGCAAUCGAGGAAAAGGCGCAACACGCGAAAGAGGUGCUGGAGCGGGAGCGGGAGAGGACGAAGGGCAUCGCUGCUGAGGCACAGCGGACCCAGCGACUAAUCACAGACUGGAAGCAGGUGGCAGCCCAUCGCCAGCAAGAAACGCACUUGAACAGCGUCCUCCACCGAAGUGCCGUGCGGCAUGCAAAGGCGGACACGUUCAUUGAGACGAAGCGCGCGGCCGCCGGCAUGUCGCGCUACUACCAUGACCAACAAGAGGUACACCGCCGUCAGCUACGCGACACGAUUCGAGACAUGAUGGUCAGCAAGAAAUUUUCGGCAGACGGGGUGGCCGAUGAGGAUGACGACGUCGUCGCAUAAGAAGCGACUCUUCGCCUUCUUUCCACGUGAAAGUGGAAGCAGCGGGUGCACACGAGUCGAUCGGCGCGCAAGCAAGCGCGCUGGCCUAAUCGAGUUUUCCCUGUAUGAGGAGCAUCUUGCGCAGGCUUUUCUACCUCUUAUGUGUUUCCCCCUUUUCCUUUGCGCACGCCGCUCAUGUAUGCUAUGACAUUGUUUCUGGUUGGAAUACUGAAAUCAAUUCGAAAUGUGAUGAGCUUCGACCUCACCUUCUCUCCGUCUUCGCUCGCCGCAUUGCUAUGGGUGGUGGUGGCGGUGGCGGUGGUUUCAGGCACACCGAGGACAGAAGUUUUGAAGAUGAUAAAUGGGGCAUUUGUGCAGCCCUCUGGGUGUGUUUUUUUGUUUGUUUCGUUUUUUAUCCGGGCGCGCGUGUGUGUGCGUGUUGUUCCUGACAUGCAUGAGCAUGCCUUUCCUUCUCUCUCCCUUUUCUGGUUGUGGUGGUGUUAACUUCUUCCUCCUCCUCUCACCACCACUAUCACCACCCCGUUUUGUCGCCCGUUUCUGGUGAGCUGAUUCUUAGCUUAUCCGGAUGCGCUUCAUGUAAAGCACGGAGGUGUGUGUUGUGCACGUAUUCGCCUCGGUGUCCUUGGGAGAUGUGUGCCAUCGCGUGCUAUCCUUUUCCAACGUCACUACAGACGUGGGCCCCCAAGAAAAGGACUAGGAAAGAGAGCGACGCCUUAGUGUGGUUGUGCUGGGCGAACCAGCGUCUCCCAGCGUAGCUUCAUGCACAACGAGACCUGCUCCUGUGUGAAAAUGCUGUCUCUUCUGCGACGACUGCGCAUCGUCACCAAAACG
Molecule: unclassified non-coding RNA, 2605 nt
Filed under: Leishmania donovani
Lineage: Eukaryota; Euglenozoa; Kinetoplastea; Trypanosomatida; Trypanosomatidae
Description: gene:LdHU3.32.1750(CDS-product:hypothetical_prote in_conserved)
Source: RNAcentral